UAGUUGGUGAGGUAACGGCUCACCAAGGCGAUGACGGGUAGCCGGUCUGAGAGGAUGUCCGGCCACACUGGAACUGAGACACGGUCCAGACACCUACGGGUGGCAGCAGUCGAGAAUCAUUCACAAUGGGGGAAACCCUGAUGGUGCGACGCCGCGUGGGGGAAUGAAGGUCUUCGGAUUGUAAACCCCUGUCAUGUGGGAGCAAAUUAAAAAGAUAGUACCACAAGAGGAAGAGACGGCUAACUCUGUGCCAGCAGCCGCGGUAAUACAGAGGUCUCAAGCGUUGUUCGGAAUCACUGGGCGUAAAGCGUGCGUAGGCUGUUUCGUAAGUCGUGUGUGAAAGGCGCGGGCUCAACCCGCGGACGGCACAUGAUACUGCGAGACUAGAGUAAUGGAGGGGGAACCGGAAUUCUCGGUGUAGCAGAGAAAUGCGUAGAUAUCGAGAGGAACACUCGUGGCGAAGGCGGGUUCCUGGACAUUAACUGACGCUGAGGCACGAAGGCCAGGGGAGCGAAAGGGAUUAGAUACCCCUGUAGUCCUGGCAGUAAACGGUGCACGCUUGGUGUGCGGGGAAUCGACCCCCUGCGUGCCGGAGCUAACGCGUUAAGCGUGCCGCCUGGGGAGUACGGUCGCAAGAUUAAAACUCAAAGAAAUUGACGGGGACCCGCACAAGCGGUGGAGUAUGUGGCUUAAUUCGAUGCAACGCGAAGAACCUUACCUGGGCUUGACAUGUAAUGAACAACAUGUGAAAGCAUGCGACUCUUCGGAGGCGUUACACAGGUGCUGCAUGGCCGUCGUCAGCUCGUGUCGUGAGAUGUUUGGUUAAGUCCAGCAACGAGCGCAACCCCUGUUGCCAGUUACCAGCACGUGAAGGUGGGGACUCUGGCGAGACUGCCCAGAUCAACUGGGAGGAAGGUGGGGACGACGUCAGGUCAGUAUGGCCCUUAUGCCCAGGGCUGCACACGUACUACAAUGCCCAGUACAGAGGGGGCCGAAGCCGCGAGGCGGAGGAAAUCCUAAAAACUGGGCCCAGUUCGGACUGUAGGCUGCAACCCGCCUACACGAAGCCGGAAUCGCUAGUAAUGGCGCAUCAGCUACGGCGCCGUGAAUACGUUCCCGGGUCUUGUACACACCGCCCGUCACAUCAUGGAAGCCGGUCGCACCCGAAGUAUCUGAAGCCAACCGCAAGGAGGCAGGGUCCUAUGGUGAGACUGGUAACUGGGAUGAAGUCGUAACAAGGUA
Molecule: ribosomal RNA, 1242 nt
Filed under: metagenome
Description: bacterial SSU rRNA
Rfam family: Bacterial small subunit ribosomal RNA
Source: RNAcentral